RNAcentral lists this ribosomal RNA (407 nucleotides) under uncultured bacterium. Its description in RNAcentral is "partial 16S ribosomal RNA". It matches the Rfam family "Bacterial small subunit ribosomal RNA", at positions 30 to 526 of the family's 1533-position model. The record is from RNAcentral.
AUUGAACGCUGGCGGCAGGCCUAACACAUGCAAGUCGAGCGGAGCGGCGGACGCGUGAGUAAUGCCUAGGACUCUGCCUGGUAGUGGUGGAUAACGUUCGCAAAUGGGCGCUAAUGCCGCAUCCUCUCAGAUGCGCCUGUGUCGGAUUAGCUUUUUGGUGGGGUAAAGGCCUACCAGGGCGACGAUCCGUAACUGGUCUGAGAGGAUGAUCAGUCACACAGAAACUGAGACACGGUCCAGACUACUACGGGAGGCAGCAGUGGGGAAUAUUGGACAAUGGGCGAAAGCCUGAUUCAGCCAUGCCGCGUGUGUGAAGAAGGUCUUCGGAUUGUAAAGCACUUUAAGUUGGGAGGCGUUACCAACAGAAUAAGCACCGGAUAACUUCGUGCCAGCAGCCGCGGUAAUUC